AGAGUUUGAUCAUGGCUCAGAUUGAACGCUGGCGGCAGGCUUAACACAUGCAAGUCGAACGGUAACAGGAAGGAAGCUUGCUUUCUUUGCUGACGAGUGGCGGACGGGUGAGUAAUGCUCGGGAAUCUGGCUUAUGGAGGGGGAUAACUACGGGAAACUGUAGCUAAUACCGCGUAAUAUCUUCGGAUUAAAGGGUGGGACCGUAAGGCCACCUGCCAUAAGAUGAGCCCAAGUGGGAUUAGGUAGUUGGUGGGGUAAAGGCCUACCAAGCCGACGAUCUCUAGCUGGUCUGAGAGGAUGACCAGCCACACUGGAACUGAGACACGGUCCAGACUCCUACGGGAGGCAGCAGUGGGGAAUAUUGCACAAUGGGGGGAACCCUGAUGCAGCCAUGCCGCGUGAAUGAAGAAGGCCUUCGGGUUGUAAAGUUCUUUCGGUGAUGAGGAAGGCAGGUAAGUUAAUAGCUUACUUGAUUGACGUUAGUCACAGAAGAAGCACCGGCUAACUCCGUGCCAGCAGCCGCGGUAAUACGGAGGGUGCGAGCGUUAAUCGGAAUGACUGGGCGUAAAGGGCACGCAGGCGGUGACUUAAGUGAGAUGUGAAAGCCCCGGGCUUAACCUGGGAAUUGCAUUUCAUACUGGGUCGCUAGAGUAUUUUAGGGAGGGGUAGAAUUCCACGUGUAGCGGUGAAAUGCGUAGAGAUGUGGAGGAAUACCGAAGGCGAAGGCAGCCCCUUGGGAAUAUACUGACGCUCAUGUGCGAAAGCGUGGGGAGCAAACAGGAUUAGAUACCCUGGUAGUCCACGCUGUAAACGCUGUCGAUUUGGGGAUUGGGCUUUGAGCUUGGUGCCCGUAGCU
This 856-nucleotide ribosomal RNA is filed under the name uncultured bacterium. RNAcentral describes it as "bacterial SSU rRNA". It matches the Rfam family "Bacterial small subunit ribosomal RNA", at positions 8 to 853 of the family's 1533-position model. The record is from RNAcentral.